Long non-coding RNA from Magnolia sinica, 1272 nucleotides. RefSeq lists it as uncharacterized. The transcript is spliced from 4 exons. The record is from RefSeq and is a predicted model, not a curated record. NCBI's taxonomy places the organism in Eukaryota, Viridiplantae, Streptophyta, Magnoliopsida, Magnoliales, Magnoliaceae.
AAUUCUGUUUUGUACACAAGAAGCCAGGUUGCAUACAGUAAAAUGAUUAUUAAAAAAAAAAAAAAUUGUUCAUGCACUAGAUGUUAACUAAACCAACCAAUAUUCUACAUUAUUGUAUUGUACAAUGAUACUGCAGUUCUCAGUUUAGUUCGUGUAGUCUUUUAUUGUGCAACUGUUGAUCUCUAAUUUGCUUCCAACAGAAAUUGCCCAUUGUGAAGGAAAGCAAUCUUCUAAUUGCCUAAUGUGAAUGUAGGUAUCGUGGCACUUGACAGUUUCAUUGGGUUGUACAGGAGUUUUGUACCUAAUGCAUUAAAGAAUCUCCCAAACAGCAGAUGCAUUGAGGUCGGAAAGCCUCGAGCUUGUGCCACCUAGCUCUCUUACAAUCCAACACAGGCCUGGAUAGAUGGUGUGCAAUAUCCAAGCUUUCCAUCAGGUGGUUCCCCACUUCUUAAUGCCAUGGUCCAAAAAUCAGGCAAGUCCACUCCAUGUAAGGAUCACCAAAAGCAAGGGCCCCACACCCUUGGCUUAUUAUUAUUAUUAUUAUUAUUUUUCUUACCAAUCUUCAUUGCUUCAAUAUAAUGAAGGGUUUCAAUAAUGUUUGACUUGUAUUAUGUAUUUAUCUUUAGUUGUAAGAUGCUUAUUCAAAGUGGAAGUAACUAUAUAGAGUGUAGGCUUAGGGGUCCACAAUGCUUACAUGGAUGCAUGAUCAACGUUGUUCAUCAGUUUUAUCCUUGAAGAAAAAGGGAAGAAAAAUUUGUCCACAUAUUUAUAAAAAAAAUUCCAUAGCUAUUCUCCUCCAUCUACUAGUCACAGGUAUUUAUUGGUUCCUUUUAUUUUAUAUCCAAUUUGUUUUUUGGUUAUUUUAUUUUGUUUUGUAAACUUUUGUCGUUGCAUUGGUAACUGAAGGUGGAGCAUUUGGGGUGGAGCAUUGGUAACAGAGGGGGGCUUUGCUGCUUCAUAUGGGGAUGGAUAUGGACUUCAUUCGGGUGGUGUUGACAAAGGUCUUUUAUAUGGCAUGAGUUCUAGUUCUUGGGGUGCAUUUGAGAAGUCUCGCCUCGGGCGUCGCUGAAGUCCGUUGAUUUUUUUUUUCUUCUGCUUUUCCUUGUGUCUCAAUCUGUAAAUUUUUUGUCCAUUAUGUAACCUUUCAUUCUCAAGCCCCCUGUAAAUGAGGCUGGGUGUAAAUGAUUUACAGGUUGUGUUUGAAUGCUAAUUUAAUCUUGUAAAGGUCAUUUGAUUUAGAAUAUUUAGCCUAGCAGAAAUUUUAAUUGUUUC